Molecule: long non-coding RNA, 2662 nt
Filed under: Olea europaea subsp. europaea
Lineage: Eukaryota; Viridiplantae; Streptophyta; Magnoliopsida; Lamiales; Oleaceae
Source: RNAcentral
CCCUAACAAGUCCAACCCACCACCACUUCUGGGAAAGUGGAAUAAUUUUUUUCUUUUUCAUGUCUUUUUUCCUUUUGCCAUUAUUUCCUUUCCAUUUUUUUUACGCGUGGUGACACACGCUUCACGUUAUUCGGAUGGGCGUUGACUAGGUAUUAGUGGUGUGAUGAAGAUCAAUCGAUUUGGGCGAAACGUUGUCAUGGCAACCUUCCAUGAACUUAGGCUUCGUCAAGACUUUAUAAUGAACCGAAAACACAUUUACUAGUGGUACAUCUUGAGCAAGGUAAUGUUUCACUUUAUAUAAAUGACUCAUUUUCAUUAGAAGGCUCAUGUAUAUUCUCUUGUUGGCAGUUGAUUUGAUCGUCAAAAUACUAAAAGUCGUCUGUCCUUUUUUUGUUUUUUUAGUAACUGUGAUCUUCGUGUCUGCAUUCGAGUAUGCAGGUAUCUUAUAGGUAGAUAGGAACAUCGUAGUGACAAUAAAAUCGUUUAGAUUUUGAAACAACAACUAAAAACAAAGAUAUUUGUGUUCUCUGGACAUGAAAGAUUUACCUUUUAAUUGGCAGAAGGAAGGAAUCUAGUCACUUGUACUAACACUGCACAGAACCACAUGGGUGGACGACGCUGCCAGAAAAAUAGGUUUGCUAACUGAUGGGGAUGAGUUCAGCUAGCUUGACAUUUAAUAUUUUGGGCAUUACUCUCGAAGCUGUGUGAGUGGACUUCUAUAUUUGGAAACUUGUUAGCCAGACCUAUUAUCUUCAUGGACAUUGUGAUUUAGUUGAUGAUCACAUCAACUUUUGCAAAUUUCGUGGCCUUGUGAUGGUUAGAGGUGAAGUCGACAUCAAAGAAUACUUGUGGCUAUAAAAGACCCUGUUUAUAUCAUGGUCAGCCAUGGUGAUUUUUGGUGGUUAGCCGAUUACUAUAGCAGUCGACCUUGGUAGUUGUUAUGACCACGAUAUUAAUCAUGGUCAAUCAUGACAAUAUCAUGGUUAGUCUUUGCCUUGGAGAAUUUAAUUUGGUGAUUUUAGUGAUUUGAUUAAUAACAUAGUUUUCUUUAAGGAACUAUAUCGUUGUUGUGACUUGCUUAAUAUCAUUGUCGUACUUGAAAAGUAUUAUUGGUCAUUAAGUGACAUGGUAGAUAUCGUGUUCAAUCUUGACAAGUUUUGGCAGUUGCAGUGACUCAAUUAAUAUCGUGGACAACGAAGUUGAGUUUCGUAACUGUUGUGGCCUGAUUAAUAUGGUGUUCAUGCCACACAAGUUGGAGUUCAUAUUUUCCGAUGACCUACAUAUUUGGAAAGCUUUUCAUUCAUUCAGUUUUGUUAGAGACUUUGAGGUUGUUUUUCUUGACCUCAAAUAUAUUAUUACUACUUCCAUUAAAGAAAGAGGAUUUCAUUAGUAUGUGGAUGAAGUUCUUCUAUAUUGAGAAUAUUCGGAGCUACUUCGUUACUAGUGGAUAUUGACUCAUCGAUUGCACAUGUUUGGAUAAAUUUUUCUUAUCUUCCAAUUUUCUUAUUUGAAAAAUCGGCCCUAUUUUACCUUUCAAGCACUAUCGAUAUUCUCCUUAAGAUUGCUAAUGGUUAGAUGGUGAUGAUGGCCUAAAUAAGCAUGAAAAUAAAAGAAAAGAUUUGAGGAGACGGUGCAACCUUCUGGGGUAGUAGAAGGUGGUGGUUCUCGAAGGACAAAAAUGGAACUCCUGAAGAGACAGAAAACUCACACUUCAAAUCCUAACUAAAAUUCAGUUAAUAAAGCGAACAUUCGGCCUCAAUUUUGGAGGAAAUCUAAAGCCGUUUGGCAACAAAUUAAUUCAAAUUCAGAUUUUUGGGGAGCCAUUUAAAGAGCUAAUGUCCCGUGCAGAAUUUUGGAGCAUAAUUGAUGAAAAUAGUUGAAUAUUUUGGAUUAGCAAUUGGGUGAGAGACUGAAUAUUAAGUUGGGAUGUCCAUCUCACGAAAGAGAAAUAAAAAAAUCAACCAUUGUAAGUCGGGAUAUGACUAACUUAAUGGAUUGACUAUGCGCGUGUGCACACACACAUCGAGCGAGGAUCGAAUAAGUAAAAAUUAAUUUUGAUGGCAUGAUUCAGAAGCCUUUUAUGAUUGGUUAGCCCACUUUCAAAACAUGAAACCAAUGUGCUACCUAAUCAAUUGAUUUUUAUUGUUAUUUGUUUAUAUGUUUAAGUAGAUAAUUUUAUUCAAAACGAACAAGGAUUUAGUUUAAAGCGUUAACAAGUGUAUUCUACACUGUUGUCCGUUCUUAUAAACUUGAUGUAUAUUUACAAAUUGAGCGAAUUUUUACUUAAUUUCUUGUAAAUGUUGUUAUCAUAGGUAAAAUCAAGACUUCGGAGGUACGUGGAAGAUUUCGAGCUUAAUGGGAGGAAAUUCACAAUUUCUGGGAGUGAAAUUCAACUUAUGAAAAGUUUGGGGACUCAUUUGCACACUUCUAAAACUUGAAGAGGACGAAUCUUGGAUGUAUGGAGAGUAUGGGGACCAAGGUAAAAGCUUUCAGGAGUUGUCGGAGUAAUAUAGAAGAUUUGAACCCGAAAUUACCAAAAUCGUACAAGAAACUUGAUGUGGGGUCAAAAUGCAAAUGUUCCAUUGUUCGACGUCGCCACUGAAGAUUGGUAGUUUUUCACGAACAAGCCGCGCAGGCUGCAAGGUUGACCAAUGGCUUGUCC